RNAcentral lists this ribosomal RNA (460 nucleotides) under uncultured bacterium. RNAcentral's name for it is "partial 16S ribosomal RNA". It matches the Rfam family "Bacterial small subunit ribosomal RNA", at positions 338 to 795 of the family's 1533-position model. The record is from RNAcentral.
CCUACGGGUGGCUGCAGUGAGGAAUAUUGGUCAAUGGGCGGGAGCCUGAACCAGCCAAGUCGCGUGAGGGAAGACGGUCCUAUGGAUUGUAAACCUCUUUAGGCGGGGAGCAAUGCCGGGCACGCGUGCCCGGAGGGAGAGUACCCGCAGAAUAAGCAUCGGCUAACUCCGUGCCAGCAGCCGCGGUAAUACGGAGGAUGCGAGCGUUAUCCGGAUUUAUUGGGUUUAAAGGGUGCGUAGGCGGAUUUUUAAGUCAGCGGUAAAAGUGAGAGGCUCAACCUCUUCGAGCCGUUGAAACUGGUUGUCUUGAGUGAGUGAGAAGUAUGCGGAAUGCGUGGUGUAGCGGUGAAAUGCAUAGAUAUCACGCAGAACUCCGAUUGCGAAGGCAGCAUACCGGCGCUCAACUGACGCUCAUGCACGAAAGUGUGGGUAUCGAACAGGAUUAGAUACCCUUGUAGUC